This 779-nucleotide long non-coding RNA is filed under the name Ananas comosus (pineapple). RNAcentral describes it as "long non-coding RNA (ACOM_LNC015454)". The record is from RNAcentral. Lineage: Eukaryota; Viridiplantae; Streptophyta; Magnoliopsida; Poales; Bromeliaceae.
UUUUAAUAUUUUAUAUAAAAGGAUAAAUUGCAUAUUUUGUUUUCAAACUGUAAGGCAGGUGGUUUUUUGGUUCUCAAAGUUUAAUUUUAUUAUUAUAAUUUCUAGGGAAAACUUCAAAAACCCUCCCUGUGGUUUCAUGCAUUCUCACUUUACUACCCCGUGGUUUAAAACGUAUCAAUUUGCCCCCCUGUGGUUUCAUUUUUAUCUUUUCGGAAGCUUUUUCGUUAACAUUUCGUUAAAUUAUAUACAAAAAACUUCAGAUAACCAUCUAUAUUUAUCGAAUAUUCACUUUAGUAUCCUUUAAUUUUAACUUUGUCACUGAUUUAAGAAAAAAAUAAUAAUAAAAUUGAUAACAAAAAGAGAAAAACGAAACCACAGGGGGGCAAAUUGAUACGUUUUAAACCACAGGGUACUAAAGUGAGAAAGCACGAAACCACAGGGGGGGUUUUUGAAGUUUUCCCUAAUUUCUAAUGCAAACUUUUAAAAUUACUAUGGUCAAGUGCUCUAACCUAAUUUAAUUAAUUGACUAAAUAUUGAUAUAUCGUUAAUGCAAAAGUAAUGUAACAGCGUUAUAAUUGAUAAGGUGUUGAUAAUUAAGAUGUUAUAUCACUUGAGCAUCAGCGAUCCGUCAACAUUUGGUAAAAUAAAUUGGGUCAGAGGACUUGAUCGAAGCAAUUUUGGAAGUUCGAGCCAAAAAUUACAAUAAAUUAAAAUUUGAGAACUAAAGUAUCACCGGCCUUAUAGUUUGAGGACCAAAUAUACAAUUUACCUUCCUAAUU